RNAcentral lists this ribosomal RNA (492 nucleotides) under uncultured bacterium. Its description in RNAcentral is "partial 16S ribosomal RNA". It matches the Rfam family "Bacterial small subunit ribosomal RNA", at positions 29 to 507 of the family's 1533-position model. The record is from RNAcentral.
AGUGAACGCUGGCGGUAGGCCUAACACAUGCAAGUCGAACGGCAGCACAGUAAGAGCUUGCUCUUACGGGUGGCGAGUGGCGGACGGGUGCGGAAUACAUCGGAAUCUACUUUUUCGUGGGGGAUAACGUAGGGAAACUUACGCUAAUACCGCAUACGACCUACGGGUGAAAGCAGGGGAUCUUCGGACCUUGCGCGAUUGAAUGAGCCGAUGUCGGAUUAGCUAGUUGGCGGGGUAAAGGCCCACCAGGGCGACGAUCCGUAGCUGGUCUGAGAGGAUGAUCAGCCACACUGGAACUGAGACACGGUCCAGACUCCUACGGGAGGCAGCAGUGGGGAAUAUUGGACAAUGGGCGCAAGCCUGAUCCAGCCAUACCGCGUGGGUGAAGAAGGCCUUCGGGUUGUAAAGCCCUUUUGUUGGGAAAGAAAAGCAGCAGGUUAAUACCCCGCUGUUCUGACGGUACCCAAAGAAUAAGCACCGGCUAACUUCGUG